CUGCAGCCUGAUAUUGAAUGUUGGUACAGCUUGUACAGGAUAGGUAGGAGCCUUGGAAACCGGAGCGCCAGCUUCGGUGGAGGCAUCGGUGGGAUACUACCCUGGCUGUAUUGACCUUCUAACCCGCCGCCCUUAUCGGGCGGGGAGACAGUGUCAGGUGGGCAGUUUGACUGGGGCGUCGCCUCCUAAAAGGUAACGGAGGCGCCCAAAGGUUCCCUCAGAAUGGUUGGAAAUCAUUCGCAGAGUGUAAAGGCACAAGGGAGCUUGACUGCGAGACCUACAAGUCGAGCAGGGACGAAAGUCGGGCUUAGUGAUCCGGUGGUUCCGCAUGGAAGGGCCAUCGCUCAACGGAUAAAAGCUACCCCGGGGAUAACAGGCUUAUCUCCCCCAAGAGUCCACAUCGACGGGGAGGUUUGGCACCUCGA
Molecule: ribosomal RNA, 425 nt
Rfam family: Bacterial large subunit ribosomal RNA